UAGCUCAGUCGGUAAAGAAUCUGCCUGCAGUGCAGGAGACCUGGGUUCGAUCCCCAG
Molecule: transfer RNA, 57 nt
Filed under: Bos taurus (domestic cattle)
Lineage: Eukaryota; Metazoa; Chordata; Mammalia; Artiodactyla; Bovidae
Also listed under: 5 other names
Rfam family: tRNA
About the family: Transfer RNA (tRNA) molecules are approximately 80 nucleotides in length. Their secondary structure includes four short double-helical elements and three loops (D, anti-codon, and T loops).
Source: Rfam by way of RNAcentral